RNAcentral lists this non-coding RNA (132 nucleotides) under Picochlorum sp. RCC944. Lineage: Eukaryota; Viridiplantae; Chlorophyta; Trebouxiophyceae. The record is from RNAcentral.
GGGAAUGAAGGAAAGAAGAAGAGAGGAAAAAAAGGAGCGGAAGAAGAAGAAGAAAAAAGGCAAACGAAACAUCCUAGUAGACUGACGUGUGUGUUUUUCCCCCUCCCCUCUUCUUCCUCUUCUUCUAGCCUG